RNAcentral lists this ribosomal RNA (502 nucleotides) under uncultured Acidobacteriota bacterium. RNAcentral describes it as "bacterial SSU rRNA". It matches the Rfam family "Bacterial small subunit ribosomal RNA", at positions 1002 to 1503 of the family's 1533-position model. The record is from RNAcentral. Lineage: Bacteria; Pseudomonadati; Acidobacteriota.
UACGAAGUAGGCUUCCGCAAGGACACUCGUAGAGGUGCUGCAUGGCUGUCGUCAGCUCGUGUCGUGAGAUGUUGGGUUAAGUCCCGCAACGAGCGCAACCCUUGUUUCCUGUUGCCAUCACGUUAUGGUGGGCACUCUGGAGAGACUGCCGGUGACAAACCGGAGGAAGGUGGGGAUGACGUCAAGUCAGCAUGGCCUUUAUGUCUGGGGCCACACACGUGCUACAAUGGCCGGUACAAAUCGUCGCAAACUCGCAAGGGUGAGCUAAUCGGAGAAAGCCGGUCUCAGUUCGGAUUGUAGGCUGCAACUCGCCUGCAUGAAGUUGGAAUCGCUAGUAAUCGCGGAUCAGCACGCCGCGGUGAAUACGUUCCCGGGCCUUGUACACACCGCCCGUCACAUCACGAAAGCUGGCUGUACUAGAAGUAGCUGCGCUAACCCGCAAGGGAAGCAGGUUCCUAAGGUAUGGUCAGUGAUUGGGGUGAAGUCGUAACAAGGUAACCGU